ACUUUUUUAGUAUAAAUUAUUAUAUUUGACUUCCAAUCAAAAGAUCUUAUUCAAGAAAAAGUA
This 63-nucleotide transfer RNA is filed under the name Neomegalotomus parvus. RNAcentral's name for it is "tRNA-Gly". Lineage: Eukaryota; Metazoa; Arthropoda; Insecta; Hemiptera; Alydidae. The record is from RNAcentral.